RNAcentral lists this ribosomal RNA (501 nucleotides) under uncultured bacterium. RNAcentral's name for it is "partial 16S ribosomal RNA". It matches the Rfam family "Bacterial small subunit ribosomal RNA", at positions 30 to 523 of the family's 1533-position model. The record is from RNAcentral.
AUUGAACGCUGGCGGCAGGCUUAACACAUGCAAGUCGAGCGGAGAUGAGGUGCUUGCACCUUAUCUUAGCGGCGGACGGGUGAGUAAUGCUUAGGAAUCUGCCUAUUAGUGGGGGACAACAUUCCGAAAGGAAUGCUAAUACCGCAUACGUCCUACGGGAGAAAGCAGGGGAUCUUCGGACCUUGCGCUAAUAGAUGAGCCUAAGUCGGAGUAGCUAGUUGGUGGGGUAAAGGCCUACCAAGGCGACGAUCUGUAGCGGGUCUGAGAGGAUGAUCCGCCACAAUGGGACUGCGACACGGCCCAGACUCCUACGGGAGGCAGCAGUGGGGAAUAUUGGGCAAUGGGGGGAACCCUGAUCCAGCCAUGCCGCGUGUGUGAAGAAGGCCUUAUGGUUGUAAAGCACUUUAAGCGAGGAGGAGGCUACUGAGACUAAUACUCUUGGAUAGUGGACGUUACUCGCAGAAUAAGCACCGGCUAACUCUGUGCCAGCCGCCGCUGUAA